Oreochromis niloticus (Nile tilapia) is the source of this 981-nucleotide long non-coding RNA. RefSeq lists it as uncharacterized. Lineage: Eukaryota; Metazoa; Chordata; Actinopteri; Cichliformes; Cichlidae. The transcript is spliced from 3 exons. The record is from RefSeq and is a predicted model, not a curated record.
GAGAUUUUUGAAGUAGGUUUUGCUGUUGAUAACACAAUCAGGCAUAUAACAUGGUGCAGACUGUCCAAGACAGCUACCCAGGAAUUUUCUGUGCUGAAUAAAUGACAAUAUUUUGGUGAUUGUCUUGUUUAGAUAUCUGAAAAAUUUCAUCGGAUCACAAUCAAAGACCUCCUGGGGACCUUCAAUGCAUCCCUUGACAAAUUUGUGCCUGGCCUGCUGAAACUGUACCGGUCUAAGAAGGGAGUUCUUUGUGAGGAGAUGGAAGACCUCCUGGAUAAACUUGAUGAACAGACAUCCAACAUUGUGUCCAACUUGCACUGAGAGGCCUGCCCAUUUUCCUCAAGAGAAGAUGCAACAGAGGUUUUCCUGAAGUGCUUAGACACUGACAUUUUGGAACCAGUGUUGAACAGUGCAUCAGUUGCCAUCCUCACCAUCCUACAAGAUCACAAUGCCGAUAUGUCUGUGCGAGAACAUGCAGUUGUGUUGGAAGGGGACAUCGUGCUACAUAACAUUCCAGAUCUCUCUACUGCCCUGGCAUACCUCUUUGGCCUUCUGUAUGCCCUCAACAUUGAUUAUCCAAAGCAGAUGAGUUUUACCUUUGAAGCAAUUGCCAUCUUAUUUUGACCUGGUCGGACAUUAUGAAGGUGAAGUGGAUAAAUCAUUAUUCGAAAUGUAAAUAUGUAUAUGAGAAUAUAUGGUGAAAAUUUCACAAAGCACCCAAAAGAAACUGGCAACACGUUUUUGUUUGUUUGUUAUUUCUUUUCUUUCUUUCUUUUUUUUCUGUUUUUUUUUUUAACAGAAAUUUACCCUACUACCCAUGACAUUCUGAAAUGUACUGAAAAGACUGUUGAACAAAAUAAAUAAGCUUUUAGAUAACAUUGAAUUGUGCUUUGUUUAAUUCUAUAUCUAUUUGAGUGUUUUUUCAAGUAUAAUAACAGCAUACAUUUUCCUUUGUUUAUGUAGGUAAAUUUUCAACUCACC